RNAcentral lists this ribosomal RNA (866 nucleotides) under Salmonella enterica subsp. enterica serovar Infantis. RNAcentral's name for it is "partial 23S ribosomal RNA". It matches the Rfam family "Bacterial large subunit ribosomal RNA", at positions 2065 to 2925 of the family's 2925-position model. Lineage: Bacteria; Pseudomonadati; Pseudomonadota; Gammaproteobacteria; Enterobacterales; Enterobacteriaceae. The record is from RNAcentral.
UGUACCCGCGGCAAGACGGAAAGACCCCGUGAACCUUUACUAUAGCUUGACACUGAACAUUGAGCCUUGAUGUGUAGGAUAGGUGGGAGGCUUUGAAGCGUGGACGCCAGUCUGCGUGGAGCCGACCUUGAAAUACCACCCUUUAAUGUUUGAUGUUCUAACGUGGAUCCGUAAUCCGGGUUGCGGACAGUGUCUGGUGGGUAGUUUGACUGGGGCGGUCUCCUCCUAAAGAGUAACGGAGGAGCACGAAGGUUGGCUAAUCCUGGUCGGACAUCAGGAGGUUAGUGCAAUGGCAUAAGCCAGCUUGACUGCGAGCGUGACGGCGCGAGCAGGUGCGAAAGCAGGUCAUAGUGAUCCGGUGGUUCUGAAUGGAAGGGCCAUCGCUCAACGGAUAAAAGGUACUCCGGGGAUAACAGGCUGAUACCGCCCAAGAGUUCAUAUCGACGGCGGUGUUUGGCACCUCGAUGUCGGCUCAUCACAUCCUGGGGCUGAAGUAGGUCCCAAGGGUAUGGCUGUUCGCCAUUUAAAGUGGUACGCGAGCUGGGUUUAGAACGUCGUGAGACAGUUCGGUCCCUAUCUGCCGUGGGCGCUGGAGAACUGAGGGGGGCUGCUCCUAGUACGAGAGGACCGGAGUGGACGCAUCACUGGUGUUCGGGUUGUCAUGCCAAUGGCACUGCCCGGUAGCUAAAUGCGGAAGAGAUAAGUGCUGAAAGCAUCUAAGCACGAAACUUGCCCCGAGAUGAGUUCUCCCUGAGACUUAGAGUCUCCUGAAGGAACGUUGAAGACGACGACGUUGAUAGGCCGGGUGUGUAAGCGCAGCGAUGCGUUGAGCUAACCGGUACUAAUGAACCGUGAGGCUUAACCUU